GCCCCGUUCGUCUAACGGCAAGACAUCAGACUCCAAAUCUGAUGACGGGGGUUCGACUCCCUCCCGAGGGUA
Molecule: transfer RNA, 72 nt
Filed under: Gammaproteobacteria bacterium AqS3
Lineage: Bacteria; Pseudomonadati; Pseudomonadota; Gammaproteobacteria
Description: tRNA-Trp
Rfam family: tRNA
About the family: Transfer RNA (tRNA) molecules are approximately 80 nucleotides in length.
Source: RNAcentral